AAAGACUGUUGAUGGCCUAUCAACUACAAAAAAUAUUCCGAUCAAACUGCCCUGCAUCCAUUUACAAUCCUUCAAGUUGCUUGGAAAUCUUUAUAAAAUUGAACAUGUUGUGUUUGAUCCUCAAAAGUGAAUCCGAGUAAUAUUGAUUGAUUCUUUCUUAUUUUGCAAUAGUUGUCGAAGUUGGUAAGAUAGUUUAGCAGAUUCUGUAGUUCAACUUCAAUUCAAUCUAACACGUGUGUUCAUUGUGAAUAAAUAGGC
Molecule: long non-coding RNA, 258 nt
Filed under: Gossypium barbadense (sea-island cotton)
Lineage: Eukaryota; Viridiplantae; Streptophyta; Magnoliopsida; Malvales; Malvaceae
Description: long non-coding RNA (GBAR_LNC013686)
Source: RNAcentral